UGCGCAGGCGGAAUGAUAAGUCAGUGGUGAAAUCCUACAGCUCAACUGUAGAACUGCCAUUGAUACUGCAUUCUAGAGUACAGUUGAAGUAGGCGGAAUGUAUCAUGUAGCGGUGAAAUGCAUAGAUAUGAUACAGAACUCCUAUAGCGAAGGCAGCUUACUAAACUGUAACUGACGCUCAGGCACGAAAGCGUGGGGAGCAAACAGGAUUAGAUACCCUGGUAGUCC
RNAcentral lists this ribosomal RNA (228 nucleotides) under uncultured bacterium. RNAcentral's name for it is "partial 16S ribosomal RNA". It matches the Rfam family "Bacterial small subunit ribosomal RNA", at positions 568 to 796 of the family's 1533-position model. The record is from RNAcentral.